CUAAAGCACCCACACAAGUUUCUGUGCAACAUAAAAACAGAGUAGGCCCUGGGGCUCCUGCCUCCUCUCUAAGGGAGGGAGGCCAGAACCACUGACUGAUCCAGGAAACAACACAGCACCCCUUCUGGUCCCCUCCUGGGGGCGCUCCUCAGUAGGUGGCUUGCCAAAGCUUGCCCCCUACAAUAUUGAAUGAAAAAGGUUUCCCCUCCCCUGGAAGCAUGAGGGGUCUCCAGAUCUGAGAAUUCCCCCCUGGAAGAGACAUUGCCCCCUAGUUAAACCUCCCACCUUUCCAGGCCCUAGGGGACUCGAGGGGAGUGGGGAAACUGAGGCACAGAGAGGUGGAGUGACCUAGCUCAGGCCACUC
This 364-nucleotide long non-coding RNA is filed under the name Rattus norvegicus (Norway rat). Its description in RNAcentral is "long non-coding RNA NONRATT022558". The record is from RNAcentral. Lineage: Eukaryota; Metazoa; Chordata; Mammalia; Rodentia; Muridae.